This 700-nucleotide long non-coding RNA is filed under the name Capra hircus (goat). RNAcentral's name for it is "lncRNA (ENSCHIG00010023930.1)". The record is from RNAcentral. Lineage: Eukaryota; Metazoa; Chordata; Mammalia; Artiodactyla; Bovidae.
GUUAUGGGGCAGCCUGGGUGGGAGGGGAGUUUGGGGGAGAAUGGAGACAUGUACAUGCAUGGCUGAGUCCCUUUUCUGUCCACCUGAAACUAUCAAAAUGUUGUUCAUCGGCUAGACACCAAUACAAAAUAAAAAGUUUUUAAAAAGGCACCCAGAGAGGUCCCUCUUCCUCUUUCUGCCACCUGAGGACAGAGCAUGAAGUUGGCCUUGUAUGAACCUCCAAGGGAGCUCUCACCAGAACUCCACCAUAAUCUCGGUCAUCCAGUUUCCAAAACUGUGAGAAGGAAAUUUCUGCUGUUACAAGCCACCCAGUCUAGGUAUUUUUGUUAGAGCAGCCAGAACAGAUGAAGACAGGAGAUGAGGGGGGAAACUUGAGGGGGUGGAUAGAGCGGGGAGGGGUGGAGAGACAGGGCUUGCAGAUGCUCCAGGGGUGCCGGGAGGCCCAUGGACCAGGCAGCUGCGAGGAGAGGGAGCAGAGGUAUUUAUCCGCCAAGCCCCUUUCCGCCUGGACCAAGGCCUGGUUGCUGGGGGCGUGCAUCGGCGCACGUCUGGCUCCUGGCCACAAGCACUGCACUGGUCAGGGGCCUGGAAGUGGUCCAGGCUUGGCAGCAUCUGUGUGGGGGGGGCGGGGGUGGCGGGUAUAAACAGUCAGGUCCAUCUAGUCAAAGCUUUGGUUUUUCCAGUAGUCAUGUAUGGAUGU